Molecule: small nuclear RNA, 105 nt
Organism: Gracilinanus agilis (Agile Gracile Mouse Opossum)
Lineage: Eukaryota; Metazoa; Chordata; Mammalia; Didelphimorphia; Didelphidae
Source: RefSeq, a predicted model, not a curated record
GUGCUUGCUUCAGCAGCACACAUACAAAAAUUGGAAUAAUACAGGGAAAAUUAGCAUAGCCCCUGUACAAGGCAGACACAGAUUUGUGAAGCAAUACACACACAC